This 205-nucleotide unclassified non-coding RNA is filed under the name Hevea brasiliensis (rubber tree). The record is from RNAcentral. Lineage: Eukaryota; Viridiplantae; Streptophyta; Magnoliopsida; Malpighiales; Euphorbiaceae.
GUUGUUGUGUUGGAACUCUAGCCAAAUCCCAGUCAUUAUCAGCUAAAACAUCAAAGUUACCUCAAAAACUAAAGAUUCACCAAUUUUCGAGCCGGAGGAGACGGCGAAGGCGAUGGUCAUCAAGUCCGGAGACAAUGGAGAACAAUGUUAGUAUAUCCCAUUCUCUUGAGGCUCACCUGUCUUCAGAGCCAGCUACAAUCACUGA